RNAcentral lists this transfer RNA (73 nucleotides) under Candidatus Obscuribacterales bacterium. RNAcentral describes it as "tRNA-Lys". It matches the Rfam family "tRNA". From Rfam's summary of the family: Transfer RNA (tRNA) molecules are approximately 80 nucleotides in length. Their secondary structure includes four short double-helical elements and three loops (D, anti-codon, and T loops). Lineage: Bacteria; Bacillati; Candidatus Melainabacteria; Candidatus Obscuribacterales. The record is from RNAcentral.
GGGUUCGUAGCUCAGCCGGUAGAGCACUCGGCUUUUAACCGAAUGGUCGUGCGUUCGAAUCGCACCGGACCCA